This 175-nucleotide non-coding RNA is filed under the name Syntrophomonas zehnderi OL-4. RNAcentral describes it as "6S / SsrS RNA". It matches the Rfam family "6S / SsrS RNA". From Rfam's summary of the family: E. coli 6S RNA was the first non coding RNA to be sequenced, but its function was unknown until recently. It consists of 184 nucleotides that fold into an extended hairpin structure with a large single-stranded internal bulge. The 6S RNA specifically associates with RNA polymerase holoenzyme containing the sigma70 specificity factor. Lineage: Bacteria; Bacillati; Bacillota; Clostridia; Eubacteriales; Syntrophomonadaceae. The record is from Rfam by way of RNAcentral.
CUAUCCCUGCUGCGUACGUGAUAGCCGUGUAGUUUUUGCCAACACAAAAACUAUGGGAGUCCGUACUUCGUAUCUGACUUGCAUGCCCAUCUGCUGGGACACAAACAGGACACGAGAGGACACCCACCUGCAUUGCAGGUUAAAACUUGCGGCGCCACGGCUCAGUGGGGUUUUU